AUUGAACGCUGGCGGCAGGCCUAACACAUGCAAGUCGAACGAGUGGCGGACGGGUGAGUAAUGUCUGGGAAACUGCCCGAUGGAGGGGGAUAACUACUGGAAACGGUAGCUAAUACCGCAUACCAUCGGAUGUGCCCAGAUGGGAUUAGCUAGUAGGUGGGGUAACGGCUCACCUAGGCGACGAUCCCUAGCUGGUCUGAGAGGAUUACAUCACCCACUGGAACUGAGACACGGUCCAGACUCGAGCAACACCACCACAUAUUUAAUAUUGCACAAUGUGCGCAAGCCUGAUUCAGCCAUGCCGCGUGUAUGAAGAACUCCUUCGGGUUAUAAAGUACUUUCAGCGAGGAGGCGUUACUCGCAGAAGAAGCACCGGCUAACUCCGUGCCAGCAGCCGCGGUAAUUC
RNAcentral lists this ribosomal RNA (406 nucleotides) under uncultured bacterium. RNAcentral describes it as "partial 16S ribosomal RNA". It matches the Rfam family "Bacterial small subunit ribosomal RNA", at positions 30 to 526 of the family's 1533-position model. The record is from RNAcentral.